RNAcentral lists this small RNA (2154 nucleotides) under Pan troglodytes (chimpanzee). RNAcentral describes it as "retained intron". Lineage: Eukaryota; Metazoa; Chordata; Mammalia; Primates; Hominidae. The record is from RNAcentral.
GGAUUUUCAGACAGGUCUAUCUUUGAUCUAAAGCAUGUGCCACAUACCAGGUAUGGUCAAUUUUGUGAUCCAGCCAUCCACACAGGAUGGGAUGGGAUGGCUGCAAAUGCCUGGGGGUAUUCUGCCUCCUCAUCUCCAUUCCCACCCCCUCAGCACACAGGCACAUGUGAGUGCACAAGUGUGUGCACACAGAUACACACAGAUUUAGAAUACAAAGAAACCACUGCUGUGGCUUCAUAGCCCCCCAGAGCCCUUGGACUAAUGUAAGUAACAGUUCUACCAGAGUUGCUCCAGGGAAUAGAUACGGGACAGAAAAAUGCUCUUCUGUUGCUCUUGGGUGAUAAUUGCUCAGUUGGGAGAGGCCAAGAGUCUCUGGGUCAGGUUGUGUUUGGCCCCAUACUUGUGUCCUCUGUAGGUGACCAUCAUGACACAUGGAAGCUUGGGCUCAGUCUCCCUAAAGUUGAUUGAGCCUGCUCCUUAUCUGUGAAAUGAGGGUGGUUGGCCUUGAUGAUCUUGCAGUAAGAUGUCCUGAUAUGGGAAGUGGAGUCCCAAGCUAAGUGUGCUGGAAAGGGGAAGGGACCUGUGUGGAUAAGCUCCCCGUGGUCUGGACUGAUUUUGUCUUUUCUGAAUAGAUUGCUGGUUACCAGUGGCCUUCCAGGUUGUUAUCUGCAGGUGUGGCAGGUUGCAGAGGACAGUGAUGUCAUUAAAGCUGUCAGCACCAUUGCUGUGCAUGAGAAAGAGGAGAGUCUCUGGCCUAGGGUGGCCGUCUUCUCCACAUUGGCACCCGGAGUCCUCCAUGGGGCGAGGCUCCGCAGUCUGCAGGUCAUUGAUCUGGAGUCCCGGAAGACCACGUACACCUCAGGUACCAUGGUACUUUGUCCCUUGCUUGCUGCUCCAGCCGGCAUCACCCACCAGCCCAACUCAGCCACUAUAAAAACUGAGUUCAACUCUCUGUGCCAGGUGUUGGGGAUAUACAGUGAAUAAGAGGUAAGCCCUGGCCUCUAAGGGCUCCUAUGCUGGGGCAGGAUUAGGCAGUCCCAGGGACCAACACCCAACCAGCUGAGCAGACAAUGGUGAGAUGAGUGGGAAGGGAGAUGUGAUUUAUUCUGCCUGGGACUGGUGGGAAGGGACCUGUGACCAGCCAGCCCUGCCAAAUUGCCAGACCCAUCUGCCUCCAGCCGCUUGUCUCCUUUGCUGUCGGUCUUCCAGAUGUCAGUGACAGUGAGGAGCUGAGUAGCCUGCAGGUCCUAGAUGCAGACACCUUUGCCUUCUGCUGUGCUUCGGGCCGGCUGGGGCUUGUUGACACCCGCCAGAAGUGGGCACCAUUGGAGAAUCGCAGCCCUGGCCCUGGGUCUGGUGGAGAGAGAUGGUGUGCUGAAGUUGGGAGCUGGGGCCAGGGCCCUGGGCCCAGCAUUGCCAGCCUUGGCUCAGAUGGGCGUCUUUGUCUUCUUGACCCCCGGGAUCUCUGCCAUCCUGUGAGCUCAGUCCAGUGCCCAGUAUCCGUACCGAGCCCUGACCCAGAGCUGCUGCGAGUGACUUGGGCCCCAGGCCUGAAGAAUUGCUUGGCCAUCUCAGGUUUUGAUGGUACAGUCCAGGUCUAUGAUGCCACAUCUUGGGAUGGAACACGGAGCCAAGAUGGAACACGGAGCCAAGUAGAACCUCUCUUCACUCACAGAGGUCACAUCUUCCUAGAUGGAAAUGGGAUGGACCCUGCUCCUUUGGUCACCACCCACACCUGGCAUCCCUGCAGACCAAGGACUUUGUUAUCAGCAACAAAUGAUGCCUCUCUGCAUGUGUGGGACUGGGUGGACCUUUGUGCCCCCCGCUGACACCAGCAUCUUUCCAUCUAGGCCUCUAGAAAGGGGAGGAGCUGCUGUAGUAGCAAGGGUGCUGAUGUAGGACUCAAGUGACUACCAGUCCCUGUUACCAGCUGUGUGGCCUUGGGCAAGUCUACCAGCGUCACUUAGCCUCAGUUUCCUUAUCUGUAAAAUGAGGAUAGUAAGAACUACCUCGUAGUGAUAUUGCGAAGGUUAGAAGAAACGCAUGGCAUAAUUACUUGGUAGCUAUUGUUAGAUCUGGGAGUGUGAAAUGGUAGCGUUUUGUCCCUGUCUUCACACUAUCAUAGGGAGAAUCAAAAGAGCUAACAAAUAUAAA